CCUACUUCUCUCUCCCUUCCCUGUACAGCGAAAAUAAAACCCCAAAUACCUCAAUUUCAGAUCUGAUUAAAUUCGCAGAGAAUUCAUUCAUCUCUCAAACUUCUCACUCCGUUAUUCUCAAUCGAAAUCCCCAAUUUAUAUUCUUGCAGAUCACCAAUUUCUGCAGCUCAUCGAAAUUGAAUAAAAGAACCCUAAUUUUCGAAAUAUAAAUUUCAAUUUCCGACUUUAAUUCAUACAAUAGUUUCCAAUUUUUCCAUUGUAAAGUUUAUCAACCUUGGAGGUUUCGUAUGGUGAGUAAGUCGCGGAGCUCAAACAACAACUAACAGAGCAAGGCGUAUGAAAUUUGGUUGAUUGGCAGCUAUUGUACAGACAUGUUAAUUUGAUUUGGAAGUUUGAAGUGAGGAUUGUGGACCACUGGACCUUGACAUAUCUCAUUAGCUUGCAUGGAUCAAUGGAUCAACAUACUUUCCAGUUAUUUGUUCGAGCUCCCGGUGCCUACUCCAACUAAUAUUGAUGAGAUCAAGGGCGUGAUGUGGAUUUGACACAUAUGUUGGAGCGUGUUACGUUAGAAUCAUGCUUUGGGUGAUUUUUUUUUUUGAGGGGAUGCUUUGGGUGAUAUUUCACGGAGCAUAAAGACACAACUUAGAAAAAUGUAGGUGGUCGUAUGAAAUGGUUUAAUGCUAUAGUUGUAGCAGGACUUAAUUUUAUAUGUGUUUAGUUCUAAAUUUUUGUUGUAAAAUAUUGUAUAUAAUACUAAUUAUUAUGGUAAUUUUGUUUUGAUGCUUCCCUUUUGGUGUGUGUGUGCGCUACUGUUUUUUUUUUUUAUUUAAAAUAUAGCUGAAAAGAGACCCGUUAUCUAUAAGCAUAGGUCUUUCGAUUUUCAAAAUAAAAAAAAAUUUAAAAUGUCAAAGAGACCCCCUUUCUUCAAUAUAGGGUUUGAAUUUUUCUAACAAAGAGACCCCAUUUCUCUGAUGGUGGGUCUU
This is a long non-coding RNA of Spinacia oleracea (spinach), 983 nucleotides long. RefSeq lists it as uncharacterized. The record is from RefSeq and is a predicted model, not a curated record. NCBI's taxonomy places the organism in Eukaryota, Viridiplantae, Streptophyta, Magnoliopsida, Caryophyllales, Amaranthaceae. The transcript is spliced from 4 exons.